RNAcentral lists this long non-coding RNA (566 nucleotides) under Homo sapiens (human). Its description in RNAcentral is "non-protein coding lnc-ANXA2R-8:2". The record is from RNAcentral. Lineage: Eukaryota; Metazoa; Chordata; Mammalia; Primates; Hominidae.
GUGGAGCUGCCAGAGUAAAGCAAAGAGAAAGGAAGCAGGCCCGUUGGAAGUGGUUGUGACAACCCCAGCAAUGUGGAGAAGCCUGGGGCUUGCCCUGGCUCUCUGUCUCCUCCCAUCGGGAGGAACAGAGAGCCAGGACCAAAGCUCCUUAUGUAAGCAACCCCCAGCCUGGAGCAUAAGAGAUCAAGAUCCAAUGCUAAACUCCAAUGGUUCAGUGACUGUGGUUGCUCUUCUUCAAGCCAGCUGAUACCUGUGCAUACUGCAGGCAUCUAAUCAUCCAGUGGUAUCUGUGCAGGAUUGGUUCCAGGAUCCCCCUCAUACACCAAAAUCCAUGGAGCUCAAAUCCUUUAUAUAAAAUGAUUAGAAGACCUGCGAGUAAAACUGAAGAAAGAAGGAUAUUCUAAUAUUUCUUAUAUUGUUGUUAAUCAUCAAGGAAUCUCUUCUCGAUUAAAAUACACACAUCUUAAGAAUAAGGUUUCAGAGCAUAUUCCUGUUUAUCAACAAGAAGAAAACCAAACAGAUGUCUGGACUCUUUUAAAUGGAAGCAAAGAUGACUUCCUCAUAUA